RNAcentral lists this long non-coding RNA (343 nucleotides) under Brachypodium distachyon (stiff brome). RNAcentral describes it as "long non-coding RNA (BDIS_LNC003538)". The record is from RNAcentral. Lineage: Eukaryota; Viridiplantae; Streptophyta; Magnoliopsida; Poales; Poaceae.
GAUCAAUGUUAAUCUACGUUGAUUAUCACAUCGCAUAUUCUCGUAAGUCAGCGAUGUAAAUCCUCGCUGCACACAUAUAACUCAUGAUGGAAUGAAUUAAUGCUCGAAACAAAAAAAAAUCUUGAGGCAGCCAGUGGGGAAUUACUGACAUUUAAUAAACGGAAUUGUGUGUGUGAGCAGUUGGGACAGUUGGAGAGCUGAGUAGAUGAAGAUAUGUGGGUGUGACAACUCAUGGGUAUUCUCUACUUUGGAGAAAAGAAAAAAGAGAAUAUAAAUAAAAGACUUUGAGCGUCGCAUGCGCCAUCCGACGCCAUAUAGAUCUUUAACCUCAAUAAUUGGAAGC